This 500-nucleotide ribosomal RNA is filed under the name uncultured bacterium. Its description in RNAcentral is "partial 16S ribosomal RNA". It matches the Rfam family "Bacterial small subunit ribosomal RNA", at positions 28 to 507 of the family's 1533-position model. The record is from RNAcentral.
GACGAACGCUGGCGGCGUGCUUAACACAUGCAAGUCGAACGGGCCUGUCUUCUUUUUUGGGGGGUGGGUUGAGUGGCGAACGGGUGAGUAUCACGUGAGUAACCUGCCCUUCGGUCCUGGAUAACCGCUUGAAAGGGCGGCUAAUACGGGGUGGUCCGGUUGGUCCGCAUGGGCUGGUCGGGAUAGAUUCACUGUUUUUGGUGUUUCGGCGGGGGAUGGGCUCGCGGCCUAUCGGCUUGUUGGCGGGGGGAUGGCCGACCAAGGGGGUGACGGGUGGCCCGGUUGAGAGGGUGGGGGGCGACAGAGGGACGGAGAUACGGCCCAGACUACGGCGGGAGGAAGCAGGGGGGGGUAUUGCACAAUGGGCGGAAGCCUGAUGCAGCGACGUCGGGUGAGGGAUGGAGGCCUUCGGGUUGUGGACCUCUGUUUCCGGUGGUGAAGGCCCUGUCCGUGUGGUGGGGUUGACGGUAGCCGGGGAUGAAGCGCCGGCUAACUACGUG